GGGUCAUUAAGUUGGUCGUGCCACCGGUACGUACUGGUCUCACUGAUUCCUCCUUCCUGAAGAACCGUAAUGCCAUUAAUUUGGUGUUGCGGGGAAACAGGACUGUUACUUUGAAAAAAUUAGAAUGUUUAAAGCAAGCUAACGCUUGAAUACAUUAGCAUGGAAUAAUGAAAUAGGACGAUCGAUCCUAUUUUGUUGGUUUCUAGGAUUGACGUA
RNAcentral lists this ribosomal RNA (216 nucleotides) under Glomeromycotina sp. RNAcentral's name for it is "partial small subunit ribosomal RNA". The stretch from base 40 to 216 matches the Rfam family "Eukaryotic small subunit ribosomal RNA", at positions 686 to 864 of the family's 1831-position model. The record is from RNAcentral. Lineage: Eukaryota; Fungi; Glomeromycota.